RNAcentral lists this ribosomal RNA (433 nucleotides) under uncultured bacterium. Its description in RNAcentral is "partial 16S ribosomal RNA". It matches the Rfam family "Bacterial small subunit ribosomal RNA", at positions 29 to 507 of the family's 1533-position model. The record is from RNAcentral.
AACGAACGCUGGCGGCAUGCCUAACACAUGCAAGUCGAACGAGACCUUCGGGUCUAGUGGCGCACGGGUGCGUAACGCGUGGGAACCUGCCCUUAGGUUCGGAAUAACUUCCCGAAAGGGGUGCUAAUACCGGAUAAUGUCUUCGGACCAAAGAUUUAUCGCCUUUGGAUGGGCCCGCGUUGGAUUAGCUAGUUGGUAGGGUAAAAGCCUACCAAGGCGACGAUCCAUAGCUGGUCUGAGAGGAUGAUCAGCCACACUGGGACUGAGACACGGCCCAGACUCCUACGGGAAGCAGCAGUGGGGAAUAUUGGACAAUGGGCGAAAGCCUGAUCCAGCAAUGCCGCGUGAGUGAUGAAGGCCUUAGGGUUGUAAAGCUCUUUUACCCGGGAUGAUAAUGACAGUACCGGGAGAAUAAGCUCCGGCUAACUCCGUG